RNAcentral lists this ribosomal RNA (301 nucleotides) under uncultured bacterium. RNAcentral describes it as "partial 16S ribosomal RNA". It matches the Rfam family "Bacterial small subunit ribosomal RNA", at positions 509 to 807 of the family's 1533-position model. The record is from RNAcentral.
CAGUAGCCGCGGUAAUACAGAGGAUGCAAGCGUUAUCCGGAAUGAUUGGGCGUAAAGCGCGCGUAGGCGGUUUUCUAAGUCUGAUGUGAAAGCCCACGGCUCAACCGUGGAGGGUCAUUGGAAACUGGAAAACUUGAGUGCAGAAGAGGAAAGUGGAAUUCCAUGUGUAGCGGUGAAAUGCGCAGAGAUAUGGAGGAACACCAGUGGCGAAGGCGACUUUCUGGUCUGUAACUGACGCUGAUGUGCGAAAGCGUGGGGAUCAAACAGGAUUAGAUACCCCAGUAGUCCCUGUCUCUUAUAC